AUUGAACGCUGGCGGCAUGCUUUACACAUGCAAGUCGAACGGUAACAGGUUAAGCUGACGAGUGGCGAACGGGUGAGUAAUGCAUCGGAACGUGCCCGGUCGUGGGGGAUAACGCAGCGAAAGCUGCGCUAAUACCGCAUACGAUCUGAGGAUGAAAGCGGGGGACCGUAAGGCCUCGCGCGAUUAGAGCGGCCGAUAUCUGAUUAGCUUGUUGGUGGGGUAAAAGCCCACCAAGGCGACGAUCAGUAGCUGGUCUGAGAGGACGAUCAGCCACACUGGGACUGAGACACGGCCCAGACUCCUACGGGAGGCAGCAGUGGGGAAUUUCCGCAAUGGGCGAAAGCCUGACGGAGCAAUACCGCGUGAGGGAUGAAAGCCUGUGGGUUGUAAACCUCUUUUCUCAAGGAAGAAGUUCUGACGGUACUUGAGGAAUAAGCAUCGGCUAACUCUGUG
Molecule: ribosomal RNA, 453 nt
Filed under: uncultured bacterium
Lineage: Bacteria
Description: bacterial SSU rRNA
Rfam family: Bacterial small subunit ribosomal RNA
Source: RNAcentral